UCGAGAAUCUUGGGCAAUGCGCGAAAGCGUGACCCAGCAAUGCCGCGUGCGGGAUGAAGGUCUUCGGAUUGUAAACCGCUGUCACUCGGGACGAACAAAAUGACGGUACCGAGGGAGGAAGCCACGGCUAACUACGUGCCAGCAGCCGCGGUAAUACGUAGGUGGCGAGCGUUGUUCGGAUUUAUUGGGCGUAAAGGGUCCGCAGGAGGUUUGUUAAAAUUGGGGUGAAAUCCCGGAGCUCAACUCCGGAACUGCCUUGAUGACUGACGAACUAGAGUGCUGGAGAGGUAAGCGGAAUACCAGGUGUAGCGGUGGAAUGCGUAGAUAUCUGGUAGAACACCGAAAGCGAAGGCAGCUUACUGGACAGCAACUGACUCUCAGGGACGAAAGCGUGGGGAGC
This 400-nucleotide ribosomal RNA is filed under the name uncultured bacterium. RNAcentral describes it as "bacterial SSU rRNA". It matches the Rfam family "Bacterial small subunit ribosomal RNA", at positions 355 to 769 of the family's 1533-position model. The record is from RNAcentral.